Molecule: long non-coding RNA, 572 nt
Filed under: Chinchilla lanigera (long-tailed chinchilla)
Lineage: Eukaryota; Metazoa; Chordata; Mammalia; Rodentia; Chinchillidae
Description: lncRNA (ENSCLAG00000028440.1)
Source: RNAcentral
CUCCAUUAGUGGGGCUUACGGUUUGGGAUACCAUGAGGACAGGGAAUUCAUUUAUUCAUUCAUUCAUUCAUUCAUUCAUUCAACAAACAUGCUUAGCCAGGUGUGGUAGCACAUAUCUGUAGUCCAAACUACUUGGGAGGCUGAAGCAGGAAGAUUGUUUGAGCCCAGGAGUUUGAAGCCAGCUUAGGCAACAUAGCAAGAUCCUAUCUCAAAACAAAACAUGUGUUAAACUGAUCUUAUGCUCAGCAGGGCAGUGGAAUUUAACUGUGUGUCCCCAUAUCCAAAGUCACAGAGGGGAACAUGCUCCAGUGUGGAUGACCCAGUCUAUGCAUCUCCUUUAGUCUCUUUCAGAGGAGCCAAGCUGCCAGAGCUACUGUCCUUGACCUCUGGGAGGAAGAUCAUGGGCCAGACUUGGACACCCUGGAGAGAGGUCCCAGCAAGAGACUUGGCUGAGUCUGAUGAGGACGGUCUUGUAACUAUGCCUUGGGGCCCUUCCACUGGCUGAAGAGAAACAGCAUCCGCCCCAGACCGACCCUUUUGUGAUGGUGAAUGCACCAUGCCCAGGAAGACCC